RNAcentral lists this ribosomal RNA (468 nucleotides) under uncultured bacterium. RNAcentral describes it as "partial 16S ribosomal RNA". It matches the Rfam family "Bacterial small subunit ribosomal RNA", at positions 28 to 507 of the family's 1533-position model. The record is from RNAcentral.
GACGAACGCUGGCGGCGUGCUUAACACAUGCAAGUCGAACGGAAAGGCCCUGCUUUUGUGGGGUGCUCGAGUGGCGAUCGGGUGAGUAACACGUGAGUAACCUGCCCUUUACUUUGGGAUAACUUCAUUAAACUGGGGCUAAUACCGUAUAGGAGCUCCUGCUGCAUGGUGGGGGUUGGUAAGUUUCGGCGGUUGGGGAUGGACUCGCGGCUUAUCAGCUUGUUUGUGGGGUAGUGGCUUACCAAGGCUUUGACGGGUAGCCGUCAUGAGAGGGUGACCGGACACAUUGGGACUGAGAUACGGCACAGACUCCAACGGGAGGCAGCAGUGGGGAAGAUUGCAAAAUGGGCGGAAGCCUGAUGCAGAAACGCCGCGUGCGGGAUGACGGGCUACGGGUUGUAAACCGAUUUCGACUGUGACGAAGCGUGAGUGACGGUAAUGGGUAAAGAAGCACCGGCUAACUACGUG